RNAcentral lists this ribosomal RNA (1075 nucleotides) under Bacteroides fragilis. Its description in RNAcentral is "bacterial SSU rRNA". It matches the Rfam family "Bacterial small subunit ribosomal RNA", at positions 168 to 1246 of the family's 1533-position model. Lineage: Bacteria; Pseudomonadati; Bacteroidota; Bacteroidia; Bacteroidales; Bacteroidaceae. The record is from RNAcentral.
ACCCGAUAGCAUAAUGAUUCCGCAUGGUUUCAUUAUUAAAGGAUUCCGGUAAAGGAUGGGGAUGCGUUCCAUUAGGUUGUUGGUGAGGUAACGGCUCACCAAGCCUUCGAUGGAUAGGGGUUCUGAGAGGAAGGUCCCCCACAUUGGAACUGAGACACGGUCCAAACUCCUACGGGAGGCAGCAGUGAGGAAUAUUGGUCAAUGGGCGCUAGCCUGAACCAGCCAAGUAGCGUGAAGGAUGAAGGCUCUAUGGGUCGUAAACUUCUUUUAUAUAAGAAUAAAGUGCAGUAUGUAUACUGUUUUGUAUGUAUUAUAUGAAUAAGGAUCGGCUAACUCCGUGCCAGCAGCCGCGGUAAUACGGAGGAUCCGAGCGUUAUCCGGAUUUAUUGGGUUUAAAGGGAGCGUAGGUGGACUGGUAAGUCAGUUGUGAAAGUUUGCGGCUCAACCGUAAAAUUGCAGUUGAUACUGUCAGUCUUGAGUACAGUAGAGGUGGGCGGAAUUCGUGGUGUAGCGGUGAAAUGCUUAGAUAUCACGAAGAACUCCGAUUGCGAAGGCAGCUCACUGGACUGCAACUGACACUGAUGCUCGAAAGUGUGGGUAUCAAACAGGAUUAGAUACCCUGGUAGUCCACACAGUAAACGAUGAAUACUCGCUGUUUGCGAUAUACAGUAAGCGGCCAAGCGAAAGCAUUAAGUAUUCCACCUGGGGAGUACGCCGGCAACGGUGAAACUCAAAGGAAUUGACGGGGGCCCGCACAAGCGGAGGAACAUGUGGUUUAAUUCGAUGAUACGCGAGGAACCUUACCCGGGCUUAAAUUGCAGUGGAAUGAUGUGGAAACAUGUCAGUGAGCAAUCACCGCUGUGAAGGUGCUGCAUGGUUGUCGUCAGCUCGUGCCGUGAGGUGUCGGCUUAAGUGCCAUAACGAGCGCAACCCUUAUCUUUAGUUACUAACAGGUUAUGCUGAGGACUCUAGAGAGACUGCCGUCGUAAGAUGUGAGGAAGGUGGGGAUGACGUCAAAUCAGCACGGCCCUUACGUCCGGGGCUACACACGUGUUACAAUGGGGGGUACAGAAGG